Molecule: ribosomal RNA, 274 nt
Filed under: uncultured bacterium
Lineage: Bacteria
Description: partial 16S ribosomal RNA
Rfam family: Bacterial small subunit ribosomal RNA
Source: RNAcentral
CCAAUCCUACGGGAGGCAGCAGUAGGGAAUCUUCCACAAUGGACGAAAGUCUGAUGGAGCAACGCCGCGUGAGUGAAGAAGGGUUUCGGCUCGUAAAGCUCUGUUGGUAGUGAAGAAAGAUAGAGGUAGCAACUGGCCUUUAUUUGACGGUAAUUACUUAGAAAGUCACGGCUAACUACGUGCCCGCAGCCGCGGUAAUACGUAGGUGGCAAGCGUUGUCCGGAUUUAUUGGGCGUAAAGCGAGUGCAGGCGGGUGAAUAAGUCUGAUGUGAAA